Molecule: ribosomal RNA, 506 nt
Filed under: uncultured bacterium
Lineage: Bacteria
Description: bacterial SSU rRNA
Rfam family: Bacterial small subunit ribosomal RNA
Source: RNAcentral
GGCUCAGGAUGAACGCUAGCUACAGGCUUAACACAUGCAAGUCGAGGGGCAGCAUGAUCUAGCUGCUAAGAUGAUGGCGACCGGCGCACGGGUGAGUAACGCGUAUCCAACCUUCCCUAUAGUAGAGUAUAGCCCGGCGAAAGUCGGAUUAAUGCUCUAUGUUCUUCUUUGAUGGCAUCUGAUGAGAAGCAAAGAUUUAUCGCUAUAGGAUGGGGAUGCGUCUGAUUAGGUUGUAGGCGGGGUAACGGCCCACCUAGCCGACGAUCAGUAGGGGUUCUGAGAGGAAGGUCCCCCACAUUGGUACUGAGACACGGACCAAACUCCUACGGGAGGCAGCAGUGAGGAAUAUUGGUCAAUGGACGCGAGUCUGAACCAGCCAAGUAAGCGUGCAGGACGACUGCCCUAUGGGUUGUAAACUGCUUUUAUAGGGGAAUAAAGUGAGGAACGUGUUCCUUUUUGUAUGUACCCUAUGAAUAAGGACCGGCUAAUUCCGUGCCAGCCGCCGC